GCAGGGUUGCCCUAGCCUGGUAGGGGGCAGGCCUGCUAAGCCUGUGGCCGGUUUCGGCCGCGCG
RNAcentral lists this transfer RNA (64 nucleotides) under Candidatus Bathyarchaeota archaeon. Its description in RNAcentral is "tRNA-Ser". The record is from RNAcentral. Lineage: Archaea; Thermoproteati; Candidatus Bathyarchaeota.